ACUGCAGUGGGGUCGAGCCGCUUAGCAUCCAUCAAGCACCAUCUCUGCCUUGGAAGGUUUUCCAGUGUAGAAAAACCUUUGGUACACGGUGGACCUCAGUGCAUCUUCUGAGGAGACCACACCACCAUCCAGAAAUCACACAGAAAAUCCACAUCAGGAGGAUAUCAAGGACACAGAGACUAAAGAUCUGAAAGCGGGGGCGGAGACUUUAGUCUUUGAUUUGGUCCGUUUCUCCGGAUGCGGAUACGUUUCUGUAGAAUUCUGGUAUCCCAUGAUAUUUGUUGGCAUGAAAUGCCAACUUCCUUCAUAGGUCCUCGAGGAUCUAGAAGAUUCAGACCUCUCUUCAGAGGAAGAGGAUGAAUCAGUUGAGAUUGUACCUGCUCUUGCCUC
Paramisgurnus dabryanus is the source of this 390-nucleotide long non-coding RNA. RefSeq lists it as uncharacterized. The record is from RefSeq and is a predicted model, not a curated record. Lineage: Eukaryota; Metazoa; Chordata; Actinopteri; Cypriniformes; Cobitidae.